Molecule: long non-coding RNA, 1233 nt
Filed under: Macaca mulatta (Rhesus monkey)
Lineage: Eukaryota; Metazoa; Chordata; Mammalia; Primates; Cercopithecidae
Description: lncRNA (ENSMMUG00000054966.1)
Source: RNAcentral
CGCUCUGUCCUCCCCCUGCGGUGUCCGGGCACCACACGCCUGGACCCAGACGUGGACAAAAACGGAGCCAAUGGGCUUUCAGACCGGGAUAUUACCUCACCAGAACCAGCUGCCAUUGGCCGGCGCCCCCGCCGGGACGGGCUGUUGCUAUGACAGCUCAGGCCGGCUGUGCAGAGGGACGCUCGCAGCAAGCUCCGGGAGGGAAAGCCGCGUCCACACCUCUUUCCAGGAUUAUGGGAGGAAAAGUUGCCUAUCUGUUGGGUCAGAUUUCUGAAGACUGAUGAGGCCCAUUUUCUGACAAAUGGCAAGAGUUUAGAAAGUGCCAGUGACGUGCCUGAUAGAAUCUCACCACAAGAUGGACACCAACCCAUCAGAAGCCUGGAAAACCCACCCAGCAUGAGACCUCUGUGGGUCCAGGAUCUUGGAAUGGCAUCCCAUGGCUUAAUCUUCCUAAUUCAACCAAAUAAAGUUGCCCCACCCAUGUCAUGUACCCAAGCUUCCUACCAAGUCUCCUUAGCUUAAAUGCAAGAUUAGUACUAUUUUGUUCGUCUUGAUUGGAGUGAGAAAUGAAUAGGUCCAUGCACAUAUAUUUCUUUUACCACAACAAGAUGAUGAAGAAAUAAAUCCAUAAUAUUGAUACUUUUGUAUAAGCUGUGUUUACAGUUGCAGUAAGAAAUUUUAUAAUCUUUGAUUUGCUUUAUAUAGUUUCUGCUUGCUUUUUAUGAUAUUUAAAACAAAAUCUAAGCAACAAAUUUUAUGUCUGAUUAGAUUUACAGAAGCUGCUUAAGUGCUUAGGGAUAAUUUGUUCAUCAUAUUUGUAAGUCUCCCUUGUUAGGUGUUUGAAGUGUUUGAAUUGGCUAAAUUAAAUUCAUAAUUAUAGUUGAAAUAUCUAAAGGAAUUUUCUUAAUUAAAUGUUUAAAUGAUGUUAAAAGUUUAUGAGAAUUUAAUCUAUCAAAUUUAUGAGUUAAUUGAAUAUGAAUCAAUGAACAAGUAAAUGUGGUCUUGCUUUUAUAUAAAAACUACUAAGUUCAUAAAUAAAAUACAAAGAUCCAUAAGUUGAGAGGAAAAGCAAAAGCAAGAGCGAGCUUCUAAGAUCUAUAACUUAAAAAAAUUAAAUAUUGAUUGAAAUGUAAGUCAUUGUAAUUAUCCCCACUAGCUGAAAUCUCACAUCUGAAUGCUUACACGCAAAACAAAAUGUUACCCUGAACAUACUAAACAAAUAAAAAACCAUGU